CUCUGCAAAGAUCUUUGUGUGUCUGGCUCUGGGGUGUGUGUUUUUAUUUUUUUAGUGGGGGGUGGUUUAGUUUUUGAAAGCAGCGUCCUGUUGGGAAAGGUGGUUAGUCUGGUUUCGGGGCGACUGUCUCAAGGUAAAGGAAUUUAAUUUAUUUGGGACAAGGCUGUGUCGGAUGAUCAAGCUGCUUAUUAUGGCUAAUGAGUAUUUUUCACCUGAGAAUCUGUGGGAUGAGGUGGCUGUUAUCAGUUCAAAGUGAGGGGCCCCGGACUGUCUCCCACCUGCCUCUUUAGCCCCCACCCUAGGGGUGGUGAUGGACCAGACAGACUACUCAACGUAGGCAUCUGGGUUUGGGGGCCUCCUGUGGGACAAGGCCGGGGGCUCCAGGAGGCCUGGUGCUCACCUGGGGCAGUUUAUCCUGAUAUUUUGGUGUUUUCUUGGGUUUAAUCUAAUUCUUUCCAGUGUUUUUGCCUUCAGCUCUUGCGGGCUUCCCAUGGGCCCUGGCUAUUGAAACCAAAUUUUGACCAGGACCCUCACGUGCUAGGUUGACAAAAGCAGCUGUCUUCUUAAAUGUUUUAAAAGAAACAAGCAGCCCGAUCAUUCAUUGAGACUGAUCUCUGAACUCUCCUGGUUCAUUGAUGGGAUAGGUGAUACUGGUGGCUGUUAGCGUUGUUGUUUAUAAUAGGCCCAAGUUCACAGCAUCGGCCCUUGGGACCCAUGAGCUGAUAUCUGACCUUCUAAAGGUCAGUGGGCAGAGAGACCGGAGGCAGCCCUGAGGGGAUGAGGAUGGGUGGCACGGUGGCCGGUGAAGAAGGGCCUGUGUUUGUUGGGGGGAGGUGUCAUUUGCAGAGUUUGAGGACUGUGUGACACCAGGUGUGAUCUUGGCUGGUCUGACGUGGAGGGCCUGGGGACCUCUGCGCCCGGGAAGGGUGUGACACCCCCUGCUGGGCAAAGUGGUAAAGGUGUCUAAGGCCAAGGCUGCCACCCUGCCCCUCCCUGCCCUCCACUCCCACAGAGAACCUGCCUGCCCCCACCUCCAGUCGGUGUCUCAUCACCUCCCUCUCAGGCCCCACCCCCUUUCUUCGGAAAUGGGGCCCCCACCCAUCCCAGCCAAGAAGCAGACCUCAGAGAUGGGCCUGGUGGCAAUGCACCACCCCUUACCUGGGGCAGGAGAGCCUCUGCUUGUGGGCCAGCACACAGGACCCAGGCAUUGCAGAGCUGGAAGGCAGGCCCUCUGGUCGGCCUCCUCCUAACCUGGGUGCCAGCUGGAGCCAGCGUCCAUCCUCCUGCCAUCCACCAACCAGUCCCUCCAAGUCUGUCGUGGGGACAGUACUCCAAAGCCCUUCUCUAGGGUGUCCUGACUGGAGCGAGGGCCUCCCAGCCCUGGUAGGAGGCAGGUGGCAGAGCCUCUUGUGGCUUCUCUCCUGGGCCUUAGGGAGACUGACUUCUCCCAGCACUCCAGGGACAGGCUCUGGAAACUUUUCCUAGAAGCUAGAAGGGACCCUGAGGUCAGCUGCUUCCUCCUGUAGCUGGAGUAGAGCACUCCCAGUGGGACUCAGGCCUGGACUCUGGCCACUCAGAGGGGAGGCCCAGGGUGGCAGAGUUCUGACUGUUUCCUGGAGGAGUCAUCUGGUGAUACCAUCUCAGUCUCUUCUUUGAACUUGGAAGUUUCACUUAUAAUCUCAGAACUUCAGAAGAAAAGCAGUCUUCCCCCCACUUCACCAAAAAAGGGAAGCAGAUGAGGACGCUGAGAUCCCCUCUGAGCUGGUCCCUGGGCUGACUCCAUGCUCAUCUUCAGGAGCUGGGAACAGCUCCCUCAACUUCAUAGUGCACACGGCAUACAGCUGGGGCCAUGGGCCUCGUCUCUGGCCGGGGCUCGUGGCUGGUGAAGUGAGGGUCCCUUCCUCUGGGGCAGCGUGGGCAGCUUCAGCCGAGGGCCUCUCUGACAUAGUCCAAGGCCAGGGGCGCAGGCCUCGAAGGGCUGCUGGCAUCAUGGACCCACCAUGCCUCCCUGAUCGCUUCACAGAGGCUCCUGCUGGCCUGUGUGGCUGGGACGUGGAGGAACCAGCAAAGGCGUCCACGUCAGGAAACUGUGGGGCUGCUCGCCCCGGGCCAGGGGCUCGUUUCUGAGCUGUAGGCUGGUCGAGGGCAGGCACCAAGGUGGAGGGAGGCCUGCUGUGGAAAUAGGAUCCCAGGGCACCCCUAGGCAGGUUGGUCCACCGAGGCACAGAGAGAGAUGGAGAGGCACAGAGAGAGAUGGAGGAGCCCAGGAGGAGAGCCCCUUUGUUCAGAGGAUGGUGGAGAGGCCUCCCCGGGGGCUCUUGGUGUCUUCUUUGUCCUGGUGGGAAGAGCCUGCAUUGGGGAUGUUCUGUUGAAAGGUCACCUUUUGGGGCUAACGCUGUGUGAUGGAGUGAGAGCUUUGCUUCUGUGGUGGCUCUCCUUGGAGAGGAAGGACAGGGGUGAGCAUGGGACAGGCAGG
RNAcentral lists this long non-coding RNA (2476 nucleotides) under Homo sapiens (human). Its description in RNAcentral is "HSALNT0290247". Lineage: Eukaryota; Metazoa; Chordata; Mammalia; Primates; Hominidae. The record is from RNAcentral.